RNAcentral lists this unclassified non-coding RNA (235 nucleotides) under Hevea brasiliensis (rubber tree). Lineage: Eukaryota; Viridiplantae; Streptophyta; Magnoliopsida; Malpighiales; Euphorbiaceae. The record is from RNAcentral.
AUUUUUUGGAAGGGCAAUGGGAAGGGAAGCAUCAUCUGUUAAGGAAUCGAUCGGCGCAAGAGAUGAUGUUGAAGUAGGCGACGAGUCACUGGGAACAGUUUGUGGACCGUAUCAUGAGAAGAAACAUCAAUUGGAUUAGCAGGCGGAGGAUUUGUUUGAGGUCAUCUUGAGUAAACCUGAAGUGAGGAGGAAUCUUUGGGUCAGGAAGAGUAGGAAUAGGUAGAUUUGUGGAGAU